GGAUGUGAGGGCGAUCUGGCUGCCACAUCUGUCACCCCAUUGAUUUGGCUGAUCUGGCUGGCUGGGCGUAUGUCCCCUUCCUCCCUCACCACUCCAUGUGUGUCCCUCCCGAAGCUGCACGCUCGGUCGAAGAGGACAGCAUUCCCGGAAUAGAGACGGGCUGGUCUUCCGUCAAGGGUAUACGAGUAGCUGUGCUCCCCUGCUAGAACCUCCAAACAAGCUCUCAUGGUCCAGAAAGGGACUAGAGAGAAACACAAGCCUAGGAAAUCAAAUAUACUUACAUAAAAGAUACUGCAGGUGGUGCACACCUUCAUAC
Unclassified non-coding RNA from Erinaceus europaeus (western European hedgehog), 316 nucleotides. Its record names the gene 7SK. It matches the Rfam family "7SK RNA". Rfam says of the family: 7SK was discovered as an abundant small nuclear RNA in the mid-70s but a possible function has only recently been suggested. Two independent studies have found that 7SK RNA binds the CDK9/cyclin T complex (known as elongation factor P-TEFb). Lineage: Eukaryota; Metazoa; Chordata; Mammalia; Eulipotyphla; Erinaceidae. The record is from Ensembl.